AUUGAACGCUGGCGGCAUGCCUUACACAUGCAAGUCGAGCGGCAGCGCGGGGGCAACCCUGGCGGCGAGCGGCGAACGGGUGAGUAAUGCAUCGGAACGUGUCCUUUUGUGGGGGAUAACCAGUCGAAAGACUGGCUAAUACCGCAUGAGCUCGAGAGAGGAAAGCAGGGGACCGCAAGGCCUUGCGCGAGAGGAGCGGCCGAUGCCCGAUUAGCUAGNGGUGAGGUAACGGCUCACCAAGGCGACGAUCGGUAGCUGGUUUGAGAGAACGACCAGCCACACUGGGACUGAGACACGGCCCAGACUCCUAC
RNAcentral lists this ribosomal RNA (311 nucleotides) under uncultured bacterium. RNAcentral describes it as "bacterial SSU rRNA". It matches the Rfam family "Bacterial small subunit ribosomal RNA", at positions 29 to 342 of the family's 1533-position model. The record is from RNAcentral.